Bison bison bison is the source of this 58-nucleotide microRNA precursor. Lineage: Eukaryota; Metazoa; Chordata; Mammalia; Artiodactyla; Bovidae. The record is from Ensembl.
AAGAAUUUGUUUGGGUUUUUCCAAAAGAUGUUAUGAAAGACCUGAAUGAACUUUUUGG